GUUAGAAGUAUUUUAUCUGGAAAAUACUUGAUAAUGGAAAAUGGUCACUUCAGCGAAGAAUCUAUACAAGAUCUUGCGGAGCUGGAAACAAGAAUUCCACUGCAAUUAUGGGUAACUCAGAAGAGUAAUGGCCUUCAAAGUGAAGAAGGGCGCAGUAGUGGGAUUGUUCCUGCUUCAACUCUGCUUUUGGAUGUUUACUGGAAAGAGAUGGAUGCAGAUACUGACUGGGCUAAAAUAAAUGAAACUUUUGAUGGUGUGGAGGAAGGAGAUGAAAGUUCAAG
This 281-nucleotide unclassified non-coding RNA is filed under the name Hevea brasiliensis (rubber tree). The record is from RNAcentral. Lineage: Eukaryota; Viridiplantae; Streptophyta; Magnoliopsida; Malpighiales; Euphorbiaceae.